Long non-coding RNA from Morone saxatilis (striped sea-bass), 351 nucleotides. RefSeq lists it as uncharacterized. NCBI's taxonomy places the organism in Eukaryota, Metazoa, Chordata, Actinopteri, Moronidae. The transcript has 3 exons. The record is from RefSeq and is a predicted model, not a curated record.
CCGAUCACCAGCAAACAACUGUGGAGAAUGUUAAAACCUAUAGAUGAUCUUCAGAAGAGACAAGUGACUCUACUGUGGAAAACACCCAAAAGCAGAACACAAAUCUGUCUCCUGCAAAAUGUCAGAGUGCCUGCACCAGCCUGUGGUUCAAUGUGUACUGUCAGUCCAAGGAAUCCCACAGUGCACUGCAAACUGAGAGCUGCUUGCACAUGACAGACACAUCCUGUCAGAUGACGCUGCCCAUUGAGUGCUUCUCCUGCUUCCUGACUGUGUUACUCUGCUGGCAGCUCCCCAGCAGCUCGGCUCACCCUACCAGCACCCACAGACACACGUAUGCACUAAGUCUCCAUU